GACGAACGCUGGCGGCGUGCUUAACACAUGCAAGUCGAACGGUAAGGCCCUUCGGGGUACACGAGUGGCGAACGGGUGAGUAACACGUGGGUGAUCUGCCCUGCACUUCGGGAUAAGCCUGGGAAACUGGGUCUCAUACCGGAUAGGACCACUGCCUGCAUGGGUGGUGGUGGACAGCUUUUGCGGUGUGGGAUGGGCCCGCGGCCUAUCAGCUUGUUGGUGGGGUGAUGGCCUACCAAGGCGACGACGGGUAGCCGGCCUGAGAGGGUGACCGGCCACACUGGGACUGAGAUACGGCCCAGACUCCUACGGGAGGCAGAAGUGGGGAAUAUUGCACAAGGGGAGCAAGCCUGAUGCAGCGACGCCGCGUGAGGGAUGACGGCCUUCGGGGUGUAAACCUCUUUCAGCACCGACGAAGCGCAAGUGACGGUAGGUGCAGAAGAAGGACCGGCCAACUACGUGCCAGCCGCCGCAGUAA
This 478-nucleotide ribosomal RNA is filed under the name uncultured bacterium. RNAcentral describes it as "partial 16S ribosomal RNA". It matches the Rfam family "Bacterial small subunit ribosomal RNA", at positions 28 to 523 of the family's 1533-position model. The record is from RNAcentral.